GUGUCAGCCGCCGCGGUAAUACGAAGGGGGCGAGCGUUGUUCGGAAUUACUGGGCGUAAAGGGCGCGCAGGCGGCCUUAGGAGUCAGAUGUGAAAGCCCCGGGCUCAACCUGGGAAUGGCAUUUGAUACUCUGAGGCUGGAGUACGGGAGAGGAGAGUGGAAUUCCCAGUGUAGAGGUGAAAUUCGUAGAUAUUGGGAAGAACACCGGUGGCGAAGGCGGCUCUCUGGACCGUAACUGACGCUGAGGCGCGAAAGCGUGGGGAGCAAACAGGAUUAGAUACCCGGGUAGUCC
Molecule: ribosomal RNA, 292 nt
Filed under: uncultured bacterium
Lineage: Bacteria
Description: partial 16S ribosomal RNA
Rfam family: Bacterial small subunit ribosomal RNA
Source: RNAcentral